RNAcentral lists this ribosomal RNA (458 nucleotides) under uncultured bacterium. Its description in RNAcentral is "partial 16S ribosomal RNA". It matches the Rfam family "Bacterial small subunit ribosomal RNA", at positions 28 to 507 of the family's 1533-position model. The record is from RNAcentral.
GACGAACGCUGGCGGCGUGCUUCAUACAUGCAAGUCGAACGAGAAGCUGACUUCGGUCUGUGGAAAGUGGCGGACGGGCGAGUAAUAUGUAGGAAAUUUGCCUUUACGAGGGGGACAACAGAGUGAAACUUCUGCUAAUACCCCAUAUGAGCGUAGCUGAAAUGCUAUUCUUGGAAACUCCGGUGCCUAAAGAUGAGCCUGCAUCUGAUUAGCUAGUUGGUAGUGUAAUGGACUACCAAGGCGACGAUCAGUAGCUGGUUUGAGAGAAUGAUCAGCCACAAAGGGACUGAGACACGGCCCAUACACCUACGGGAGACAGCAGUAGGGAAGUUUGCGCAAUGGGCGAAAGCCUGACGCAGCAACGGCGCGUGAACGAUUACGUCCUGCGGGGUGUAAAGUUCUGUCAGUGGGGACGAAACUUGACGGUACCCACAGAGGAAGCACCGGCUAACUACGUG